CGACCAGACUCCUACGGGAGGCAGCAGUGGGGAAUAUUGCACAAUGGGCGCAAGCCUGAUGCAGCCAUGCCGCGUGUAUGAAGAAGGCCUUCGGGUUGUAAAGUACUUUCAGCGGGGAGGAAGGUGUUGAGGUUAAUAACCUCAGCAAUUGACGUUACCCGCAGAAGAAGCACCGGCUAACUCCGUGCCAGCAGCCGCGGUAAUACGGAGGGUGCAAGCGUUAAUCGGAAUUACUGGGCGUAAAGCGCACGCAGGCGGUCUGUCAAGUCGGAUGUGAAAUCCCCGGGCUCAACCUGGGAACUGCAUUCGAAACUGGCAGGCUGGAGUCUUGUAGAGGGGGGUAGAAUUCCAGGUGUAGCGGUGAAAUGCGUAGAGAUCUGGAGGAAUACCGGUGGCGAAGGCGACCCCCUGGACAAAGACUGACGCUCAGGUGCGAAAGCGUGGGGAGCAAACAGGAUUAGAUACCCUUGUA
This 472-nucleotide ribosomal RNA is filed under the name uncultured bacterium. RNAcentral's name for it is "bacterial SSU rRNA". It matches the Rfam family "Bacterial small subunit ribosomal RNA", at positions 328 to 792 of the family's 1533-position model. The record is from RNAcentral.